This is a long non-coding RNA of Gorilla gorilla gorilla (western lowland gorilla), 2997 nucleotides long. RefSeq lists it as uncharacterized. The record is from RefSeq and is a predicted model, not a curated record. The transcript is spliced from 5 exons. NCBI's taxonomy places the organism in Eukaryota, Metazoa, Chordata, Mammalia, Primates, Hominidae.
GAGGGGCUUGGAAUUGACAGGCCGGAGGUGGGGCCCGAGUUCCUGUCUCCAGCCCACGAUUUGCUGAUCCAUCUGUCUUCCUCAGAGAGAGAGGGCGGAUAAUGCAGACUGCGCUUCCUUGGAAGACGGCAGGCUCCAGGCCAGACAAACGAAUGUAUCAACCAUACAGAUGAAGAGCUGAGGCUCAGGGAAGGAAUUUACCAAGGUCAUGAAGCUGUAAGACACAGAACCUGGGGUGUCUGCCUGCAGAGCUCACACUGACUCUACAGCCACUGAUCCAAAGCUUCAGCAAGGGGGUCUUUCUAGCAGGGCUCCCCCAGGAUGAGCAAGAGAUGAAGUGACCCCUCCAACCCCACAGCUCAGAGUCUUUCUUGAAGCUCCAACUCCAGGGCCAUUGUUUUCCUGUUCUCCCCGCUCCAAGGCCUCUCCUCUCUCCUUGGCCCAACUCUCUGACAGUGAUGCAGGUAUUAAAUGACUAAUCCAGAUCCCCAGCACCACAUCAAGCUCCUCAGGGUUCCUCUUCAAAGCACUGGGCACUUUGAAAGAUAACUGUAAAGGUCACAUUUGUAAUAUAAGCAAGAACUUCUUAAACAGACAUGUAAGUAACUGCACAUAGACAUGACAUGUCAUAGCUCGAGAAAUCUUUUAAAGUAAAGUUUACGCCAAAUUAACUUCCAACAGCUCCGACUCUCCAGACCAUUCUUGGUACUCUUAAUGACAGACUGUGCAGCCCAAAGCCUGCAGCUGCAGUGUCAGGACAAAUUAGCCUAAAGUGGAACAAAAGUCAAUGUGAAGAAAUGUGGUAUCCGGCAAGGUCUGACUUUUGAAAUUCUGAGAUUGAUGACAUUUUAAAGGUGUAGGUACAACAGAAUGUGUUUUCCAUAUUUGUAAGCAAUUCUAGGUUCCUGAGCACUAAGAGAAAAGCAAAGUUAAUUUCUCACCAUAGGAGAAGGCCUCAUUAUUUUUGUGCACAUACAUGACUGUCCUGUGAUCAAGAAAAGGCAUCUUUUAAAAGAAUCGUUUUGAAAUGUUUAUCUCUUAUUUGAAAUCCAAGAAAGAGAGUAGACAUUCAUUUCCAAAGAGGACCAUAAAUCAUAUAACGCUGGGAGAAAGGUCAACACCACCAGCACAGUACAGUUUUCUCACGUAUGCUUAAGGAUUUUCAGAACCUCCAAAUAAUAGCAUGAUGUAAACUUUGAAUAAAAAAGAACACCAUCAAGACUCCACUGAACAAAGAACGUCUGACUGGAAAUGCUUACGGCACCCUUCACAUGGUUGGGCAACUUUCCUCUACUGUUCCACCCCUUCUGCCUGUGCAGCUGCCAGAGUUAACUUAUCUUUAUCAGAAUCACAAAGGAACACUCUCCUGCUUAUUUACAAGGCUAAAAUGACAUCUGGUGGCGCUCUUCUCUGAGAACUCAGUCACUGUUCCUGGAAAACGAUUCAAAAGCACAAACUUUUGCAGGGCAACUGUAGGAGUAUUCUUGUGCAUGUGUGUUAAGUACUAACUGCUGAUGUUGCUCAAAUGUUCCGCUAGUCCCUGUAGCCUCACAAUGUUUUAUUCAUUGUCCUGUGAUCAAUUCAAAAAAGCCAUCUUUUAUAAGAAUCGUUUUGAAGUGUUUAUCUUUUAUUUGAACAUCCAAGAAAGAGUAGACAUUGACUUCCAAAGGGGACCAUACCUCCUAUAAUGCCUGAAGGUGCUUAAAAUAUAGUGAACUGUGUUAAAGUUAAUAGGAUACAUCAUUAGUGUGUUAAAAAAUGUAAAAUGGUGACAUACUAUGAGCUCACCUGGGUAAGGAAAAUAUGGCUAAAGUACCUCUAAAGGUAUUUACUUAUUAAGUAUACCGACCAAACUUUAGACAUUUUACUUCGACCACAGAAAGUAUUAUUCGAAAAAAACAAUCUUCAUUACAAAAUUAUAUAUUUAAUUAGGAAGUAAAACCUAAAUCUGUAUUUACUAGCAAUACCAACUUUAAAUAUUCUAGUUGCAGCUGACAACAGAAAUUCUAACAUGCAUAUGUUGUUGCAUAAUAGCCUCUUUUUCCUAGUUGGGUAUGUUUGUAGAGACAGAAAGGUCCCCUGACCGAUUGUGCAAUAGAGCCCCAAGAUACUUAAGCCUGGAACUACUCUCUCAGACUUAACAAAAUGUUCAUCUUAAUUUCUAUCAGAUCGAGACAAAACAUUCACUCUUUAGAUAAUAGAGGAGAGACUAAAGAACAUGUCAUAAUAGUCAAAUCUGUGCCAAUGUUAAAUCUAUCCCUUUAAAAACAUGUAUUAUUGUGAGGCCACAGGGAUUAGUGCAACAUUUGAACAGAAUCAGCAGUUAGUACUUAACACACAUGCACAAGAAUACUCCUACAGUUGCCCUGCAACCAAGAAGCUAAUAAAAGAGCCAGGCUUUUCAAAUGAACACCUCGAUGAUGACACCAUUAGUUAUUCAGCAAAAAUAAAUGCUUCAUUAACUUGUCUUCCCACUGUUAAAGGAUAGGAUGAAUUUACCUCAAGGCAGCAACUCAGAUAUUAACGUUCCCUUACAUUUUAGAGCUCACUAUGCAGAUAUACCAGAAAUAAGGUGACUUAAAACUCAAUUUGUCUGUAAAAUACACUGGCCUUUGGAAUCCAGAAACCCACUUGGUCCUGACUGCCAAUUACUUGACCUUCCUUUUGUUACUUGACCUCUCUGGAUCUUGACUAAACUCAUCUGUGAGACAAAAGAGGAGAUCUCCAAAGUUUUUUCAUCUCAAAUAUGUUACGAUUUAGAUUCAAGAAUUAUUUUUCCAAUUCCUACCACACACCCUGAAUACUGAGGUCACGCUGAGGUAUUAUUUGCCUAAGACUCUCAUAAAUGACUCAGUAAGGGAUCAACUCCAUUAGUGCAGUGGCCAGCAUUGAGUGAUCAGCAAAAAUAUCUCAUUGAGUAUUUCUAUGAUGUCACGGCUGUGCCUUUUAACAUAAUAUAACUUGAAUGUAUGCCUCUUAUUAAAAAAAUUACAAAUU